UGUAGUCUGCAACUCGACUACAUGAAGCUGGAAUCGCUAGUAAUCGCAGAUCAGAAUGCUGCGGUGAAUACGUUCCCGGGUCUUGUACACACCGCCCGUCACACCAUGGGAGUCGGAAAUGCCCGAAGCCGGUGACCAAACCAAUAAGGAAGGAGCCGUCGAAGGCAGGUCUGAUAACUGGGGUGAAGUCGUAACAAGGUAAC
This 203-nucleotide ribosomal RNA is filed under the name uncultured bacterium. RNAcentral describes it as "partial 16S ribosomal RNA". It matches the Rfam family "Bacterial small subunit ribosomal RNA", at positions 1299 to 1500 of the family's 1533-position model. The record is from RNAcentral.